Molecule: ribosomal RNA, 489 nt
Filed under: uncultured bacterium
Lineage: Bacteria
Description: partial 16S ribosomal RNA
Rfam family: Bacterial small subunit ribosomal RNA
Source: RNAcentral
AGUGAACGCUGGCGGCAGGCCUAAUACAUGCAAGUCGAACGGCAGCACAGUGGAGCUUGCUCCAUGGGUGGCGAGUGGCGGACGGGAGAGGAAUACAUGGGAAUCUGCCCAGUCGUGGGGGAUAACGUAGGGAAACUUACGCUAAUACCGCAUGCGACCUUCGGGGGAAAGCCGGGGACCUUCGGGCCUGGCGCGAUUGGAUGAGCCCAUGUUCGAUUAGCUAGUUGGCGGGGUAAAGGCCCACCAAGGCGACGAUCGAUAGCUGGUCUGAGAGGAUGAUAGCCACACUGGGACUGAGACACGGCCCAGACUCCUACGGGAGGUAGCAGUAGGGAAUAUUGGACAAUGGGCGCAAGCCUGAUCCAGCCAUGCCGCGUGAGUGAAGAAGGCCCUCGGGUUGUAAAGCUCUUUUGUCCGGGAAGAAAAGCAUCGGGCUAAUACCUCGGUGUUCUGACGGUACCGGAAGAAUAAGCACCGGCUAACUUCGUG